GCGGAAGUAGCUCAGUGGUAGAGCACAACCUUGCCAAGGUUGGGGUCGCGGGUUCGAAUCCCGUCUUCCGCU
RNAcentral lists this transfer RNA (72 nucleotides) under Thermovirga lienii DSM 17291. It matches the Rfam family "tRNA". From Rfam's summary of the family: Transfer RNA (tRNA) molecules are approximately 80 nucleotides in length. Their secondary structure includes four short double-helical elements and three loops (D, anti-codon, and T loops). Further hydrogen bonds mediate the characteristic L-shaped molecular structure. tRNAs have two regions of fundamental functional importance: the anti-codon, which is responsible for specific mRNA codon recognition, and the 3' end, to which the tRNAs corresponding amino acid is attached (by aminoacyl-tRNA synthetases). tRNAs cope with the degeneracy of the genetic code in two manners: having more than one tRNA (with a specific anti-codon) for a particular amino acid; and 'wobble' base-pairing, i.e. permitting non-standard base-pairing at the 3rd anti-codon position. Lineage: Bacteria; Thermotogati; Synergistota; Synergistia; Synergistales; Thermovirgaceae. RNAcentral also lists the same sequence under 1 other name. The record is from Rfam by way of RNAcentral.